GUGCUUGCUUGGGCAAUACAUAUACUAAAAUAGGAACGAUAUAAAGAUUGGCAUGACCCUCGCACAAGGAUGACA
RNAcentral lists this small nuclear RNA (75 nucleotides) under Microcebus murinus (gray mouse lemur). Lineage: Eukaryota; Metazoa; Chordata; Mammalia; Primates; Cheirogaleidae. The record is from RNAcentral.